CCCAUCCCCAAUUCCUCCCCCUCUUCCUUCUCUGGACGACCUCCCCCGCAGACGCAGCCGCCGCCGCACAGCCUGCGCCUCCACCCAUUCUCUCCUCCCCUCCACCGCCAACCUCCUCCCAUUCCUCUCUCCCAGAUUGAGCAGCAGGUCCGGAUCAAUGGCCACGGUGGCGUGAGCGCCACGAUGCAUCACGGCCACGCAAGGAGGAAGCUCGAUGUGGAUCUGACCCUGGUGCCGACACCAUGAACAAGAAUAUGGAUGGAGGAUGGGGAAUACAUGCAGAAGGCGGAAGCUCCAUGCUCAGCUCAGCUCUCAACUACACUGCUCUAAGACUACUUGGUGAGAAUGUCGAUGAUGAGCAAGAUAUGUCCGUGCCAAAAACAAGGAAAUGGAUACAUGACCAUGGUGGUGCAAUGAUGAUAAAACUGGAAGCAAGAUGCUUGGAUUUUUUGACAGGUCAGGUGUAAACCCUACCCCCCAGAAUUGUUCCUUCUGCCAUCCUUGGUUCCUAUUCAACUAGUAUUUGAUAUAUCCUGGGUAUGGAUGGUUUGUUCGAAGAAUGUUCCAGAAUUUGUGAAUCUUACUGUACAACAAUCAACACGAAUGCUGAAACAUUGAUUCUUGCUGAAGAGCGGCCACGCCAUGCACCAGCGAGAUCCGUGUGUGGAGUGCAGUUGAGCAAGAGUCGAUUCUAGGCGAGGUGUGUCACAUUGGUCUUCUGCUUCUCGCCGUCUAGCCUCACCGCCAAGCGGCCAGAUCCACACGAGGUGACAAUGCUAGAUACAUCUGUAUCAUGGCACUUCUCCAGCAAACAAAAGCUUGGUGGCCAUCUACUUUACUUCCAGAGAGUUUGAAAACGUACUAUCACGCUAAUAUUUAGUAGAAAUGUAUGACAAAAAAAUAGUUAGAUGGUAUUACUAUGUAUACAUGUAUACCCAAAAAUAGCUUUACAGGUCUGCUGUUGCUUUAAUAUGUUGUAGUUUCUCUGUACAUUCUUAUGCUAGAUUUUGUUGUUCCCAUGUGACAUACUUCUAAAAUUCAGGUCCUUUGAACAUAUCAGCUUUUCUCACUUAUUCAGAUUAAUGCUAAGUGUUUUUUCUCUUGUAUACUGAUCUACAAAAUUACAAUUGAGAUAUUUUCCUCCUCUAUUUUUCUUCUUGUCACCGUAGCAGCUCUUAAUUCCUUUUGAGGUCCACCAAGAUAAUGCAAUAAUCCCUGGAAAAUAUGUUCUGUACUUAAAUAGACAUCAGACUGAAGAAUAGAAGGGUUGGAUGCAAGUAUUUUCAUAGUUGAUCUCCCUUUUGUCAUCUUUUCUGGCUUUUAUUCCACUACUCCCCAGUCAUGCAUGAAUGCUAAUACAUCAGAUUUAUGCAGUCAAAAUGUUUGACUAUUCAAUUAUACAUGUCAUGCUGCAGUGCUUACUUUCUUACCCCCUUCAGUAAGUGCUGCAAGACCAAACAUCGUUUUACACAUUUGUUUUUGUAAUGAUAGCAUUGACUUUGUUUUUUUCUGCUGCUUACUGAUGCAGAACCUGAGUUGCGGGUUACCGAACCUGAUGAAAACGGAAGUCACUCCGGCAGAGAUGUAGUGUUGUGCCAAUUUGAGGUUGAUGGGGUUAAUGAGGAAAAGGAUUAUGAACUAUGUGUAGAAAUUACCCAGUAUUGCUAUGCCAAGAAAGCAAGAUAGUCGAUGGUGGCAAGAAGCCAUGAACCAUCACUCUGCUAUUACUGAACAAGAUGAUAUCUAUUUGGGUAAGUUUAGAGUUGGAAAUGUUUAUAUUCUAUUAAAGGUUUAUCUCUAGAACAUUUAUUUUGUCAAGAGAUGAGCCCUUGCAGGUUCUGAAUAUGUACGUGGAUGAUCUUCAAAUACCUAGAUGAUCAUUCUUUAUAUACCUGGAUAAUUAUUCCGCAUAAACAAAGCCGCACUAUCAUAUUAACAC
Molecule: ribosomal RNA, 1939 nt
Filed under: Triticum aestivum (bread wheat)
Lineage: Eukaryota; Viridiplantae; Streptophyta; Magnoliopsida; Poales; Poaceae
Description: partial small subunit ribosomal RNA
Source: RNAcentral